UACGUAGGGUGCGAGCGUUAAUCGGAAUUACUGGGCGUAAAGCGUGCGCAGGCGGUUCGUGAUGUCUGGUGUGAAAGCCCCGGGCUUAACCUGGGAAUUGCAUUGGAAACUAGCGGGCUGGAGUGUGGCAGAGGGGGGUGGAAUUCCACGUGUAGCAGUGAAAUGCGUAGAGAUCGGGAGGAACACCAGUGGCGAAGGCGGCUACCUGGACCAGCAUUGACACUCAAGCACGAAAGCGUGGGGAGCAAACAGG
This 253-nucleotide ribosomal RNA is filed under the name uncultured bacterium. RNAcentral's name for it is "partial 16S ribosomal RNA". It matches the Rfam family "Bacterial small subunit ribosomal RNA", at positions 524 to 776 of the family's 1533-position model. The record is from RNAcentral.